UACGUAGGUGGCGAGCGUUAUCCGGAAUUACUGGGUGUAAAGGGCGCGUAGGCGGGGAUGCAAGUCAGGUGUGAAAUCUAUGGGCUUAACCCAUAAACUGCACUUGAAACUGUGUCUCUUGAGUGAUGGAGAGGUAAGUGGAAUUCCUAGUGUAGCGGUGGAAUGCGUAGAUAUUAGGAGGAACACCAGUGGCGAAGGCGACUUACUGGACAUUAACUGACGCUGAGGCGCGAAAGCGUGGGGAGCAAACAGGAUUAGAUACC
RNAcentral lists this ribosomal RNA (263 nucleotides) under uncultured bacterium. Its description in RNAcentral is "partial 16S ribosomal RNA". It matches the Rfam family "Bacterial small subunit ribosomal RNA", at positions 524 to 786 of the family's 1533-position model. The record is from RNAcentral.